GCCCUCGUAGCUCAGCUGGAUAGAGCGAUCGCCUCCUAAGCGAUAGGUCACAGGUUCGAAUCCUGUCGAGGGCACCA
This 77-nucleotide transfer RNA is filed under the name Gammaproteobacteria bacterium. Its description in RNAcentral is "tRNA-Arg". It matches the Rfam family "tRNA". From Rfam's summary of the family: Transfer RNA (tRNA) molecules are approximately 80 nucleotides in length. Their secondary structure includes four short double-helical elements and three loops (D, anti-codon, and T loops). The record is from RNAcentral. Lineage: Bacteria; Pseudomonadati; Pseudomonadota; Gammaproteobacteria. RNAcentral also lists the same sequence under 3 other names.